RNAcentral lists this ribosomal RNA (336 nucleotides) under Tetracotyle xenentodoni. RNAcentral's name for it is "bacterial SSU rRNA". It matches the Rfam family "Eukaryotic small subunit ribosomal RNA", at positions 57 to 355 of the family's 1831-position model. The record is from RNAcentral. Lineage: Eukaryota; Metazoa; Platyhelminthes; Trematoda; Diplostomida; Diplostomidae.
CAGUUCGAAGACUCCACGCUGCGGUCACGUACAGACCUUAAAACGGUGAAACCGCGAAUGGCUCAUUAAAUCAGCUAUGGUUCCUUAGAUCGUACAUGCUACAUGGAUAACUGUAGUAAUUCUAGAGCUAAUACAUGCCACUAUGCCCUGACCCGCAAGGGAACGGGUGGAUUUAUUAGAACAGAACCAACCGGGGAGGGCUUCGGUCGUUCCUGUUGAACUCUGUGAUGACUCUGGAUAACUUUACUGAUCGCAGUCGGCCUUGUGUCGGCGACGGAUCUUUCAAAUGUCUGCCCUAUCAACUUUCGAUGGUAGGUGAACCUGCAGAAGGAUCAA